GGAAGGAUCAUUACAGAAUUGUCAACGGGUUGUUGCUGGUCCUCAAACGGGGACACGUGCACGCUCUGUUUACACAUCCACUCACACCUGUGCACCCUCCGUAGUUCUACGGUCUGGGGGACCCUGUCUUCCUGCCGUGGUUCUACGUCUUUACACACACACUGUAAUAAAGUCUUAUGGAAUGUAUGCCGCGUCUAACGCAAUACAAUACAACUUUCAGCAACGGAUCUCUUGGCUCUCGCAUCGAUGAAGAACGCAGCGAAAUGCGAUAAGUAAUGUGAAUUGCAGAAUUCAGUGAAUCAUCGAAUCUUUGAACGCACCUUGCGCCCCUUGGCUAUUCCGAGGGGCAUGCCUGUUUGAGUAUCAUGAACACCUCAACUCUCAUGGUUCGCCGUGAUGAGUUUGGACUCUGGGGGUUUUGCUGGCCUGUGGUCGGCUCCCCUCAAAUGAAUCAGCCUCCCAGUGUUUGGUGGCAUCACGGGUGUGAUAAAUAUCUACGCUCGCAGUUGUCCGCCAGGUAACCUUUGGUGACAAAGGUUCGCUGGAGCUCACAGAUGUCUCUCCUCGGUGAGGACAGCUUUUUGAACGUUCGAUCUCAAAUCAGGUAGGACUACCCGCUGAACUUAAGCAUAUCAAUAAGCGGAGGAA
Molecule: small RNA, 648 nt
Filed under: uncultured fungus
Lineage: Eukaryota; Fungi
Description: eukaryotic LSU rRNA
Rfam family: 5.8S ribosomal RNA (bases 212-366)
Source: RNAcentral